GGAUGUGAAGGUUAUUUGGCUUCGACAUCUGUUAGCCCUGACUGCCAGGGUUGAUUCAGCUGAUCUGGCUGUCCAAGCUGGUGUCCCCUUCCUCUGUCACCACCCCAUGUGUGUCCAUCCCCCAUCUGCAUGCUCAGUUGAAGAGGACAACUUUCCCAAAUAGGUCCAGACCAGUUUUCAAUGGAGGGUAUACGAGUAGCUGUGUUCCCUUGCUAGAACCUCCAAACGUGCUCCUUAGUGGCCCCUUACAUAGGGGCUGUCCUGCUUCCCAAGCUUCAGCUCUACCCCCAAACCCAGCUACUUUCUCAAUUCUGUGAGCU
This 320-nucleotide small nuclear RNA is filed under the name Erinaceus europaeus (western European hedgehog). Its description in RNAcentral is "7SK RNA". It matches the Rfam family "7SK RNA". From Rfam's summary of the family: 7SK was discovered as an abundant small nuclear RNA in the mid-70s but a possible function has only recently been suggested. Two independent studies have found that 7SK RNA binds the CDK9/cyclin T complex (known as elongation factor P-TEFb). P-TEFb activates transcription by phosphorylating the C-terminal domain of RNA polymerase II. The record is from Rfam by way of RNAcentral. Lineage: Eukaryota; Metazoa; Chordata; Mammalia; Eulipotyphla; Erinaceidae.